GUGUUCUCCAACUAGGAACUAUGGCGUCCAGAGGUGCUGCGAGUCGUUGUAUUCCUACUGCUCCACAGGAUCCUGCUCUUGAAGGGCAACAACUGCAAUACCACCUGGAAACUCCAGUUUGACGUCCAGCCCAGCCUCCUCUGAUGUUCCUGAUGUCAUUCUGGACUUCUUUAAUUGGUGCUGCAUGCAGGAUCUUUAGUUGCAGCAUAUGGGAUCUUUCAUUGGGGAUAAUUGAGCACAAUUUGCCUUCCCCUUUGAGGAUCAACAGUACACUUUUCCCAGUUGCCUGUAGGGUACAUGAAUACCUCUGGGAUUUCACAAGGAAUUUGCCGUCUGGAUCUAGACUCCUGCUCUGCACCAGGCACCUCCCACAGAAACUCAGCUCUGGCAUUGUACUGAUGUCAUCCUUGUCCCGGGACCUGGCUAUGACUCUGUGUCACACACUGUCACCACU
Bos taurus (domestic cattle) is the source of this 454-nucleotide long non-coding RNA. The record is from Ensembl. Lineage: Eukaryota; Metazoa; Chordata; Mammalia; Artiodactyla; Bovidae.